CGAGGACACACAGAGAAUAGCUGGGAUGAUAAGGACUUUGCCAAAAAGGGAGAGAUCUUGUAAGUACGUGAUCUUGGAGUCAAACCUAUUCCAAGCAGGUUUGAUCCUAGCUCGGUCCUCAGAUCUAGCAUCGAUCGGGGCAUCGUCAUCCGCCCCAGAUGAACCAGGUGGGUCUUUAUUUGAUUUAUUAUUUAUUUUGUUAUAUUUUUAUCGUAUGAGACGCUGAGUGUGGUUUUUGUAUCUUUUAGCCCAAGAGCCGGAGAUGCUGGGCUACAAAGCAGUCGUUGCAGCCAGGGCGAAGAAGAGGAAAGUUCCAAGCCUAGCUGAGACUCCCUCAGAGGAGACGGAGGAAGUUCAACCUUUAAAAAGAAACCAAUCUAGGACUCCGGCUCUGGUCGUGAGCCAUGAGGCAACUCCUUUGUCGAUGUUUGUUUCUUCUCCUACAGCCCCCAUUACUGUGGCUAUUGAUGCUUCUCUGUAGCUCCCACUCCUUUGCCAACCGUAUCUCCACUAGUUACUCCAGUUGUCGCUACUGCCAGUUCGAGCAAAAUGCCAGUACCUGACCUGUAGAGGCCGAGCCUGGAGGGUUUGAUGGGCUGCUGUCCUAAGAUUUUCCUAGACUUUCUCUAGGCUCCUUCGCCAUCGAUAGAGUCUAUCGCUGCAUUCCCUCAGCCCUUGAAGGACUUAGCUACCCGCCUCACUAGGAGCUGGGGUGAUAAUGAGCAAGGCUAUUUGGCCAAGAUGCCGCUACUGGGUGAGGCAAUUGUGGUUACACAGCCACACAGCCAUCGUUCUAUCCUUUAUAUGUCAGCAAUAGUGGAUAAGGUAAUUAAUUUGGGUGGUGUGAUUUUCCUAAGCUAUCAUUCGGUAUGUUUGGUUGUGAUUGUGUUCUUUCUUCCGUUGCAUCAGCUGAAGGUCGAGCUAGAUAAGUUGCCAGAGGCUAAAGAUCAAGCCUUAGGCCUGUUUGAGCGUAUCGAAGAGGAACGAGCUUAGUUUGCAACCAAGGAAAAAGAAUACGAGGACAAGCUCAAUAAGAUGGGUGUGGAGCUGGAUGCUAGCUUAUCUACCGAACUCAGACUCCGCGAAGAGAUUGAUACGCUGAGAGUCUAGGGGGACAGAGCUAAUAUGCGGGCGGAGAUGGAGAAGAAAAAUGCUGAAAAGGAGAGAGCUCGGGUGGAAGAGGAAAGAGCUACGUUGUCGAGGCUGUGGAAAAGGCUGAGGAAGCCAACUUGAGGGCGAUGGCGGCAACACGAAGAGCUAAGAAGGUCGAGGCCAAAGCCAUCAGAGCAGUAGAAAUCUGGAGAGAAUCUCCUAAGUUCGAUGCUUUGGCCCAAGACGUAUACGUUGUGGCCUUAGAGGAGUUGACGAAGCAUAUCCGUAGAGAGAGGCUGAACUUCGACACUGUAUUUUUGGAGAAAUCUCUGGAAGGGCAGAAGGAGCUAUAGAGGUUAUCCGAAGCUGCAGGAGUUCGGAUACUUUGUACCUAAGACUUUGCACCUUUGAUGUUCGAUUUCUUCUUCCUUUUUUUUGAAAUUAUUUGACAAUGCUUUUGGUUAUAAGGAGAUUUGUUUUGACUUUAUUGAACGCUUUAACUGUUGUAUUGGGUGAACUACUUCUCUUUGAAUGAUAUUGGGAUAGUUCUACUAGCUUUGACGUGAUUGUAGUUGCGGGAUUCCUUAAGAGGAAUAUCGUAACACACACGACCUUAGAUCGGCUUGCAUAAGGAGCAGGGUUUUUAAUAAUCCCUUAGGAGGAAUUUCAUCCAAGUGUUGUAGUACAUACAACCUCAGAUUAGUCUGCACAGGAACAAGGCUUUUAGUAAUCCCUUAGGAGGAAUUUCGUCCAAAUGUCGUAACACAUACAACCUCAAAUCAGCCUGCACAAGGAGUAGGGAUUUUAGUAAUCCAUUAGGAGAAAUUUCUCCAUUGACCUACACAAGGAGCAGGGCUUUUAGUAAUUCCUUAGGAGGAAUUUCGUCCAAGUGUCGUAGCACAUACAACCUCAGAUUGGCCUGCCUAAGGAGUAGGAAUUUUAGUAAUCCCUUAGGAGGAAUUUCGUCCAAGUGUCGUAGCACAUACGACCUCAAAUCAGCGUGCACAAGGAGCAAGGCUUUUAGUAAUCCCUUAGGAGAAAUUUCGUUCCAAGUAUCAUAGCACAUACGACCUCAAAUCGACCUGCACAAGGAGCAGGGCUUUUAGUAAUGAAGCCGAAUAGUUUCGAAACGAGGAACUAUUUUUAUUGAUGUGACUAACAUUACAAGCAGGUUUACAUGCCAUUAAAGAUUUUCAAUAUUCACUGAUAGUACUGUCUAAAGUGUUCGGCAUUCUAGGGGUAGGGUAGAGGUCUACCCCCCGGGUCUUCUAAUUCAUAUGCUCCUUUUGGUAGGACCUUAGCUACUAGGUAGGGACCCUCCCAGUUAGGGCCCAGGGAUCCACUCCCGACCUUUUUUGUGGCGAGGAAUAUCUUCUUUAGGAUAAGAGAUCCUAUUUCGAAUUCUCAUUUUCACACUUUUUCAUUACAGUAUCUUACAUUUUGUUGUUUGUAAACGACGUUUCUGAUUUCAG
RNAcentral lists this long non-coding RNA (2564 nucleotides) under Olea europaea subsp. europaea. The record is from RNAcentral. Lineage: Eukaryota; Viridiplantae; Streptophyta; Magnoliopsida; Lamiales; Oleaceae.